GGAAUGUUCUGGGAGCUGUAGCCUUUCAAACAGAAACAGAGCUACUGCAUACCCGUAUUGAAAUACUACAUACAGUUCCCUGAACUUCC
Molecule: microRNA precursor, 89 nt
Filed under: Loxodonta africana (African savanna elephant)
Lineage: Eukaryota; Metazoa; Chordata; Mammalia; Proboscidea; Elephantidae
Description: miRNA (ENSLAFG00000031729.1)
Source: RNAcentral